RNAcentral lists this ribosomal RNA (254 nucleotides) under uncultured bacterium. RNAcentral's name for it is "partial 16S ribosomal RNA". It matches the Rfam family "Bacterial small subunit ribosomal RNA", at positions 524 to 776 of the family's 1533-position model. The record is from RNAcentral.
UACGUAGGGUGCAAGCGUUGUCCGGAAUUAUUGGGCGUAAAGAGCUUGUAGGCGGUUUGUCGCGUCUGCUGUGAAAUUUCGGGGCUCAACCCCGAACUUGCAGUGGGUACGGGCAGACUAGAGUGUGGUAGGGGAGACUGGAAUUCCUGGUGUAGCGGUGAAAUGCGUAGAUAUCUGGAGGAACACCGGUGGCGAAGGCGGCGUCCCUGGACCAACACUGACACUGAAAAGCGAAAGCCAGGGGAGCAAACGGG